This 437-nucleotide ribosomal RNA is filed under the name Pleurodonte valida. RNAcentral's name for it is "partial 16S ribosomal RNA". It matches the Rfam family "Bacterial large subunit ribosomal RNA", at positions 1835 to 2602 of the family's 2925-position model. Lineage: Eukaryota; Metazoa; Mollusca; Gastropoda; Stylommatophora; Pleurodontidae. The record is from RNAcentral.
AACUGGGCGUAUUUUAUGCUCAGCUUUUUCUGCUCAAUGAUAUAUUAAAUAGCCGCAGUACCCUGACUGUGCAAAGGUAGCAUAAUCAGUUGGCUCAUAAUUGGAGUCUUGUAUGAACGACCGCAUGGGUAUAAUCUGUCUCUAGGCAACACCCAGAAUUUUUUAAGUAAGUGAAAAUACUUACUAGUAUUUAAAAGACGAGAAGACCCUAGAAAUUUUUUUUAAAAAUGCACCGUUGCGUUUUAUUAUUUUGCUGGGGCGGCAGAGUAACAGAGUAACUUACUCUAUGUACUUGACUUUUAUAUGCUGGGGGGUUAUAAUUACUCUAGGGAUAACAGCGUAAUUCUAUUUGAGUUUGCGACCUCGAUGUUGGAUUAGGAAGGGGGGUGUGCAGAAGGCACUUUCCUACGUUCUGUUCGAACGGUGAUUCCUACAUG